AGAUUAAGUUAUUAAGGGCGCACGGUGGAUGCCUUGGCACUAGAAGCCGAUGAAGGACGUUACUAACGACGAUAUGCUUUGGGUAGCUGUAAGUAAGCGUUGAUCCAGAGAUUUCCGAAUGGGGGAACCCAGCAUGAGUUAUGUCAUGUUAUCGACAUGUGAAUUCAUAGCAUGUCAGAAGGCAGACCCGGAGAACUGAAACAUCUUAGUACCCGGAGGAAGAGAAAGAAAAAUCGAUUCCCUGAGUAGCGGCGAGCGAAACGGGAAGAGCCCAAACCAACAAGCUUGCUUGUUGGGGUUGUAGGACACUCUAUACGGAGUUACAAAAGAACAUGUUAGACGAAUCAUCUGGAAAGAUGAAUCAAAGAAGGUAAUAAUCCUGUAGUCGAAAACAUAUUCUCUCUUGAGUGGAUCCUGAGUACGACGGAGCACGUGAAAUUCCGUCGGAAUCUGGGAGGACCAUCUCCUAAGGCUAAAUACUCUCUAGUGACCGAUAGUGAACCAGUACCGUGAGGGAAAGGUGAAAAGUACCCCGGAAGGGGAGUGAAAGAGAACUUGAAACCGUGUGCUUACAAGUAGUCAGAGCCCGUUAAUGGGUGAUGGCGUGCCUUUUGUAGAAUGAACCGGCGAGUUACGAUCUGAUGCAAGGUUAAGCAGCAAAUGUGGAGCCGCAGCGAAAGCGAGUCUGAAUAGGGCGUUGAGUAUUUGGUCGUAGACCCGAAACCAGGUGAUCUACCCUUGGUCAGGUUGAAGUUCAGGUAACACUGAAUGGAGGACCGAACCGACUUACGUUGAAAAGUGAGCGGAUGAACUGAGGGUAGCGGAGAAAUUCCAAUCGAACUUGGAGAUAGCUGGUUCUCUCCGAAAUAGCUUUAGGGCUAGCCUCAAGUGAUGAUUAUUGGAGGUAGAGCACUGUUUGGACGAGGGGCCCCUCUCGGGUUACCGAAUUCAGACAAACUCCGAAUGCCAAUUAAUUUAACUUGGGAGUCAGAACAUGGGUGAUAAGGUCCGUGUUCGAAAGGGAAACAGCCCAGACCACCAGCUAAGGUCCCAAAAUAUAUGUUAAGUGGAAAAGGAUGUGGCGUUGCCCAGACAACUAGGAUGUUGGCUUAGAAGCAGCCAUCAUUUAAAGAGUGCGUAAUAGCUCACUAGUCGAGUGACACUGCGCCGAAAAUGUACCGGGGCUAAACAUAUUACCGAAGCUGUGGAUUGUCCUUUGGACAAUGGUAGGAGAGCGUUCUAAGGGCGUCGAAGCAUGAUCGCAAGGACAUGUGGAGCGCUUAGAAGUGAGAAUGCCGGUGUGAGUAGCGAAAGACGGGUGAGAAUCCCGUCCACCGAUUGACUAAGGUUUCCAGAGGAAGGCUCGUCCGCUCUGGGUUAGUCGGGUCCUAAGCUGAGGCCGACAGGCGUAGGCGAUGGAUAACAGGUUGAUAUUCCUGUACCACCUAGUAUCGUUUUAAUUGAUGGGGGGACGCAGUAGGAUAGGCGAAGCGUGCUGUUGGAGUGCACGUCCAAGCAGUAAGGUUGAGUGUUAGGCAAAUCCGGCACUCAUAAGGCUGAGCUGUGAUGGGGAGAGGAAAUUGUUUCCUCGAGUCGUUGAUUUCACACUGCCGAGAAAAGCCUCUAGAUAGAUAACAGGUGCCCGUACCGCAAACCGACACAGGUAGUCAAGAUGAGAAUUCUAAGGUGAGCGAGCGAACUCUCGUUAAGGAACUCGGCAAAAUGACCCCGUAACUUCGGGAGAAGGGGUGCUCUUUAGGGUUCACGCCCAGAAGAGCCGCAGUGAAUAGGCCCAAGCGACUGUUUAUCAAAAACACAGGUCUCUGCUAAACCGUAAGGUGAUGUAUAGGGGCUGACGCCUGCCCGGUGCUGGAAGGUUAAGAGGAGUGGUUAGCUUCUGCGAAGCUACGAAUCGAAGCCCCAGUAAACGGCGGCCGUAACUAUAACGGUCCUAAGGUAGCGAAAUUCCUUGUCGGGUAAGUUCCGACCCGCACGAAAGGCGUAACGAUUUGGGCACUGUCUCAACGAGAGACUCGGUGAAAUCAUAGUACCUGUGAAGAUGCAGGUUACCCGCGACAGGACGGAAAGACCCCGUGGAGCUUUACUGUAGCCUGAUAUUGAAAUUCGGCACAGCUUGUACAGGAUAGGUAGGAGCCUUUGAAACGUGAGCGCUAGCUUACGUGGAGGCGUUGGUGGGAUACUACCCUAGCUGUGUUGGCUUUCUAACCCGCACCACUUAUCGUGGUGGGAGACAGUGUCAGGCGGGCAGUUUGACUGGGGCGGUCGCCUCCUAAAAGGUAACGGAGGCGCUCAAAGGUUCCCUCAGAAUGGUUGGAAAUCAUUCAUAGAGUGUAAAGGCAUAAGGGAGCUUGACUGCGAGACCUACAAGUCGAGCAGGGUCGAAAGACGGACUUAGUGAUCCGGUGGUUCCGCAUGGAAGGGCCAUCGCUCAACGGAUAAAAGCUACCCCGGGGAUAACAGGCUUAUCUCCCCCAAGAGUUCACAUCGACGGGGAGGUUUGGCACCUCGAUGUCGGCUCAUCGCAUCCUGGGGCUGUAGUCGGUCCCAAGGGUUGGGCUGUUCGCCCAUUAAAGCGGUACGCGAGCUGGGUUCAGAACGUCGUGAGACAGUUCGGUCCCUAUCCGUCGUGGGCGUAGGAAAUUUGAGAGGAGCUGUCCUUAGUACGAGAGGACCGGGAUGGACAUACCUCUGGUGUACCAGUUGUCGUGCCAACGGCAUAGCUGGGUAGCUAUGUAUGGACGGGAUAAGUGCUGAAAGCAUCUAAGCAUGAAGCCCCCCUCAAGAUGAGAUUUCCCAACUUCGGUUAUAAGAUCCCUCGAAGAUGACGAGGUUAAUAGGUUCGAGGUGGAAGCGUGGUGACACGUGGAGCUGACGAAUACUAAUCGAUCGAAGACUUAAUCAAUUUUUUAAA
RNAcentral lists this ribosomal RNA (2932 nucleotides) under Staphylococcus epidermidis. Its description in RNAcentral is "bacterial LSU rRNA". It matches the Rfam family "Bacterial large subunit ribosomal RNA". The record is from RNAcentral. Lineage: Bacteria; Bacillati; Bacillota; Bacilli; Caryophanales; Staphylococcaceae.